CGCGAACGGCUCAUUAUAACAGCUAUAAUUUACUUGAAUUUGACAACCCUACUUGGAUACCGGUGGUAAUUCUAGCGCUAAUACAUGCACCAAAGCUCCGAUCGCGAGGGAAGAGCGCAUUUAUUAGAACAAAACCACACGGCUUCGGCCGUCCAAUGUUGACUCAGAAUAACUAAGCUGAUCGCAUGGUCUUGCACCGGCGACGUUUCUUUCAAGUAUCUGCCUUAUCAACUUUCGAUGGUAGUGUAUCUGACUACCAUGGUGAUGACGGGUAACGGAGGAUAAGGGUUCGACUCCGGAGAAGGGGCCUGAGAAAUGGCCACUACGUCUAAGGAUGGCAGCAGGCGCGCAAAUUACCCACUCUCAGUACGAGGAGGUAGUGACGAGAAAUAACAAGACCGUUCUCACAAGAGGCCGGUCAUUGGAAUGGGUACAAUUUAAACCCUUUAACGAGUAUCUAUGAGAGGGCAAGUCUGGUGCCAGCAGCCGCGGUAAUUCCAGCU
Molecule: ribosomal RNA, 503 nt
Filed under: Bitylenchus dubius
Lineage: Eukaryota; Metazoa; Nematoda; Chromadorea; Rhabditida; Telotylenchidae
Description: SSU rRNA
Rfam family: Eukaryotic small subunit ribosomal RNA
Source: RNAcentral